Long non-coding RNA from Ricinus communis (castor bean), 1471 nucleotides. RefSeq lists it as uncharacterized. The transcript has 2 exons. The record is from RefSeq and is a predicted model, not a curated record. NCBI's taxonomy places the organism in Eukaryota, Viridiplantae, Streptophyta, Magnoliopsida, Malpighiales, Euphorbiaceae.
AUAAUGAUCUCCAAUAACCACUUUUUUUAGAAAAAAACAGCAAACAUCCUGCAAAUCGGUUCCAAAAGAUAGGGGAGUCAAUCUGCUUGUGUUGUGCCAUCAUUUUACCAUGAGCUAUAUCCAUAAUGGGUGGCACCAUCUAUGCUUCCCAUAGUGGGCAGAUAGAAGUAAUUCAGUAUAGCAGUCAGAAUUACCAUAUGAAUAUUACUUGAUUUAUCGCCAUGGAAGGAAAAAUGGAAAAGGUCCAGAAUUGAGUAACCAAUUAGGUGAUUGAGAGGGAAAAGAGAGUUGGUCGUCACAUGAUGUUGUUACGUGAUGAGAUCAUUUUUAUUGAAUUCUUUUCCUUCUUGUAUGUCAUUUUUAUUGAACAUGAUGUCUAAAGAAGAAAGCCAUGGGAAAAAGGGCAAGGGCCCCUCAUAAAUUGGUUAUGGUUAGCACUCUUUUUUAGGUUCAUUAAGGUAAAGUGGGUAAAGGGGUGAGAUAUAGAAGAACUCGCCACCUUGUCUGCAUGGUGGUGGCGUGGGCAUGAUAAUAUUCAUUUUGUCUUGCUUUGGACCACUGCCAUCUGUUGUUGUUUAUUGCAAUCUUUUUUCUUUCUUCUUAUAAUAUGCAAGAAUAACCAUCAGCUCACUAUAGAAGCGACGAGAUAAAUAUAUGCUUGGCUGCUCUAUAUAUUUACACACUCCUCUUUCUCUUCUCCAAGAUCCUAAAGAAAGAAAAUCCGUUUUUCCCUCUGAUUUUCUCUCUAUCCCCCAUAUUAACAUAAAAGAAGCUGAAUAUUGUGAAUCUGUAUAUAUAUAUAUAUGUUCAUCGUGCACCACUAGCAGUUAAAGCUGCCAGCAUGAUCUAAAUUCUCUUUCUCCAUCAAAAUAGAAGGAUAGAUUAGAUCAUGUGGUAGCUUCACCUGUUGAUGGCACCACGACCAAUACCUUAUUUUUAGUGUUUAACUCUAAAUUACUCUUCUGCAGCUUCCCGAUUCUUUCUUGUUAUGCAGUAUAUCUGCUCAACUGGGUUUGCCCAUCUCUACAAGCAUAACGAUGUUCUGGCCUGAGUCUCAUAUUUCAUUGGUAAAACUUCUUAUUCCAUGAGGCAAACCAAAAAUAAACAAAUGAAUAGUUAGUUUCGUAGUAAUUAUAAGAAUAUGUUGGGACAAUCUUAUCAGCAAGAAGAUGUCACUGCUAGGGUUUUGAGAGGCAGAAUUUCCCACAUCAUAGCCUGGUUGCUGCUUUUGAGAAAUCCAAAAUCUUAUCCUUCAUGCAUAGAGCCUCUCCAUUCUAGGAAUUGAUCCUUUUCUUCUUUAAGUUUAUAACGGUUUUUAUAUGGUUUUGGACCAUAGUUUUAUUUAAUAGAGCUCUAUUUUAAAGAGUGUAUUAUGUAUAUUGUUGUUUAGUGUUUGAUGUGAUGAUAUAGAAGUAGCAAAAAGUGAAAAAGGAAAAGAUGGGAAUAAAAAAGCACUUGAAUCUUUUUGGCA